GGGGGUGUAGCUCAGCGGUUAGAGCAGCGGGCUCAUAACCUGUUGGUCGCUGGUUCGAUCCCAGCUACCCCCACCA
This 76-nucleotide transfer RNA is filed under the name Candidatus Saccharibacteria bacterium oral taxon 488. RNAcentral's name for it is "tRNA-Met". It matches the Rfam family "tRNA". From Rfam's summary of the family: Transfer RNA (tRNA) molecules are approximately 80 nucleotides in length. The record is from RNAcentral. Lineage: Bacteria; Candidatus Saccharimonadota.